UCUCCGUUGGUGAACCAGCGGAGGGAUCAUUACCGAGUUAUCCUACUCUCAACCCCCUGUGAACUUAUACCUUUACUGUUGCUUCGGCGGGUUAACGCCCCGGAAGGCCCGCGAGGCCCGCCGGAACCAGGCGCCAGCCGCGGGACUCAAACUCCUGUAUCUUUUUUAUAGCAUGACUGCGUAGAACCACAAACAAAUGAAUCAAAACUUUCAACAACGGAUCUCUUGGUUCUG
Molecule: unclassified non-coding RNA, 234 nt
Filed under: plant metagenome
Description: partial contains small subunit ribosomal RNA, internal transcribed spacer 1, and 5.8S ribosomal RNA
Source: RNAcentral